CCUACGGGAGACAGCAGUGAGGAAUAUUGGUCAAUGGCCGGAAGGCUGAACCAGCCAUGCCGCGUGAAGGUCAGUGCCCUAUGGGCGUUAAACUUCUUUUGUGCGGGAGCAAUAAUGGUCACGUGUGGCCAGACGAGAGUACCGUACGAAUAAGCAUCGGCUAACUCCGUGCCAGCAGCCGCGGUAAUACGGGGGAUGCAAGCGUUAUCCGGAUUUAUUGGGUUUAAAGGGUGCGUAGGCUGUGAGGUAAGUCAGCGGUGAAAUGCCCCCGCUCAACGGGGUGAAGUGCCAUUGAUACUGGCUGGCUGGAAUGCGGAUGCGGUAGGAGGAAUGUGUGGUGUAGCGGUGAAAUGCAUAGAUAUCACACAGAACACCGAUUGCGAAGGCAUCUCACGAAUCCGCGAUUGACGCUGAUGCACGAAAGCGUGGGUAUCAAACAGGAUUAGAUACCCGUGUAGUC
This 460-nucleotide ribosomal RNA is filed under the name uncultured bacterium. RNAcentral's name for it is "partial 16S ribosomal RNA". It matches the Rfam family "Bacterial small subunit ribosomal RNA", at positions 338 to 795 of the family's 1533-position model. The record is from RNAcentral.